This is a long non-coding RNA of Strigops habroptila (Kakapo), 1768 nucleotides long. RefSeq lists it as uncharacterized. Lineage: Eukaryota; Metazoa; Chordata; Aves; Psittaciformes; Psittacidae. The transcript has 4 exons. The record is from RefSeq and is a predicted model, not a curated record.
GAACUGCAAUGUUGGGGAGAUUAGGACCCCUUCAUUACACUUUUUUUCUACCUCACAUGAUGUAUGUUUCCAUCUCUUUAGUUACAACAACACCCCUGCUGAGAUGCUGGCACUUACAGAUGCACGUUGUAGAUCGAAACCCUUGAAAUCCCUUUCAUUCCCUUGCUAUUACCUAAUUUGUGCCCGCAAAAUCCUUCCCUUGGCAAAUGAGAUUGCCAGUCCCAGGACUCACUCCACUCAGCCAGCACAGCAGCAUGGCAGAGCCUGAGCUACCAUAUCCCCCUCAUUGCGUCCUUCUGUCCCUCUGCUCCCUGAGGCAGCAGUGCUUCCUCAGAAAUACUGCACCUAGCCUGGGUACCCAGAACUUCCUUUCUGGGCUGAGCACUACUUCACCUGAGUCAAUUGCAAGGUGAAUAUGAAAUAGUCCACAGAUGCUCAGUAGUUUGUUAAACAGAGGUAGCUUGACCAUCUGUGUUUGUUUUACUUGUCUUUGCUAACUAAAUCUAGCCACAGGCAUAGCUGAGCUUUUAGGGCCCAGUUUUUUUAGGGACCAGAUCCUCAAAGGCAUGAAGUCCAACUAACAAUGGGAACUGGGUCCUAAAAGCUUUGGAGGAGGGAUGCUGUGCAAUUAUACUUAACUUCAAAGAUGUAUCUAGAUAGUGAAACUGAGGGCUGUGAAUGGGCUUCAUAUCACCCAGCUUCCAGGGGGAGACUCAAACAUGUGCAUGUCGGUGUCUGUAAGUGAGUGAGCUGCCUUUGCUUCCACAAUGUAUACUGGAGGUCUCAGACUUAAUUCAGUUGUGUUAACAUAUGCCUUGAGAACUCUCUAGGUUGUUGAAGACUUCUGCAUGAAGCUGACGCAUAUGACAGAGGUCCUACAGAGACAUAUUUUCUUCAGCGGCUGGAGGCGUGGGACCAUAUGCUAAGGUAGAUGAGUAAACUGCACUCACUCCUAGCUGCAAGACAAGGAAGGAAGGAUUUGGUCUAGAAACCUGCUGAAGAAAGGGACUUGUUGACACUCUUUGGAGCAAUAUGAACACCUCUCCGUCCUCUCUGUAUUUCGGCUAGGCAAGCUAAAUGUCUGACCUCAGCUACUGUGAUAGAAUUUGUCUUGGUACUGCCAGGCAUUUGGGAUCUUGGGUGAAUCAUGUCCCCUUGUUAUGCCUCAUUGUUGAACUGGAGAUGAUGAUGGUUUCUCCAUCUCCUGCUCCUUCUAAGUCAAAGCAGUCCUUAGUUGCCACUUUGGAACAGAAUUCAAAUCACAUUGUGACUGAUUGUGACUGUACCAAGAAUCAGACCUGGAACUUUAAAACAUGUUUUUGUCUAUUCAAGUGCCAAGAUCAGAAUGAGAUAAAUCCAAAUACUACAUACUGGAAUAAAAUUAUAAACACCUUGAAGCUUCACUGUAAGAAGUCACUGGUUGUUGCCCAAUAAAAGACUUUUGUUACAACUGUACAUGCUGUUUACCAAGUAAACAGAGGAUUCCAGUAGUUAAUAACUCUUGCCUGGAUUAUGCCCUCUUCACCCACUGCCUGGCUGGCACCUCAUUUGGCCUCUUGGCAAGAACUGGAGCACAAGCUUGGCUUGCUACAACAGAGACUGUAAGUAGAUAUUUGCACCUUACUGGAGUGAAAUGUUUUUUCCAGCAGUACUGGUAAAGCAGGUCUCACAUGUAAAAGCCGUGGGAAGCUUGACUGGAGCAACCAUAUUUGCCAGUCCCUCCAACUGUCCCUUCACAACUCUAACAGUGAAGAGAAUUCAGCCUUGG